UGGGGAAUAUUGCACAAUGGGCGCAAGCUUGAUGCAGCCAUGCCGCGUGUAUGAAGAAGGCCUUCGGGUUGUAAAGUACUUUCAGCGGGGAGGAAGGGAGUAAAGUUAAUACCUCUGCUCAUUGACGUUACCCGCAGAAGAAGCACCGGCUAACUCCGUGCCAGCAGCCGCGGUAAUACGGAGGGUGCAAGCGUUAAUCGGAAUUACUGGGCGUAAAGCGCACGCAGGCGGUUUGUUAAGUCAGAUGUGAAAUCCCCGGGCUCAACCUGGGAACUGCAUCUGAUACUGGCAAGCUUGAGUCUCGUAGAGGGGGGUAGAAUUCCAGGUGUAGCGGUGAAAUGCGUAGAGAUCUGGAGGAAUACCGGUGGCGAAGGCGGCCCCCUGGACGAGGACUGACGCUCAGGUGCGAAAGCGUGGGGAGCCAACAGG
Molecule: ribosomal RNA, 429 nt
Filed under: Chloroflexota bacterium
Lineage: Bacteria; Bacillati; Chloroflexota
Description: Chloroflexi bacterium partial 16S ribosomal RNA
Rfam family: Bacterial small subunit ribosomal RNA
Source: RNAcentral